Alnus glutinosa is the source of this 799-nucleotide long non-coding RNA. RefSeq lists it as uncharacterized. Lineage: Eukaryota; Viridiplantae; Streptophyta; Magnoliopsida; Fagales; Betulaceae. The transcript is spliced from 3 exons. The record is from RefSeq and is a predicted model, not a curated record.
UCUGCAUUUUUUCCAGUUUUGCAAAGUGCGCUCAAGCCCACUCGACUUGAAUGUCUGCUCUGCGGCGCAUCCUGUUGCGCAGAUGGCUGCUGUGUUCGAUGCGCUCGAGCUCAACAGGGCAAAGCUCGAGCCCAUUCACUUGAAAGGCUCCUUUGCUGCACAUCGUAGCGGGCUGAGGGUUGUUGAGGGGCAUGUGUGCUCGAGACCAACAGAGCUGAGCUCGAGCCCAUUUCCAAAAAAUUCGAAUUUUUUGCCUUUUUGCCUCAAAACUACAAAAUAUAUCAGAAAAUAACAAAUUCAAAGGCCUAACAAGUGCAAAUUAAGGGGUCCAAAUAUACAAUAUUUGACACUCAUCAUCUGCAAUCAUAGUCACUACCAUGGUCUCAAGGAUCGCUCAACCCUAGUAUGCCGAGGAGAUAGCAGGCUGAGCUAGGAGGCCGGAAUGGGGGCAGGUUUAAUUAUUGAGUCCAAUCAAACUACAUAAAAUUUUAAAUGAGUGCAUUGUUACAAUUUCACAAUGGUGCCAAUUACAAACAGCAAGGCCGACAAUGAUGUGGUUGGAAGUGUUGUCAACAACGAAUCUGGAAGUGUAAGGAAUCAAGGUCCGAACCUGGAGGCUUUGAUAGCAUUAGCAACACAAAUGAUAUGCUUGUUGGAAGACCUCAUCCAUAGAGUAUCAGCGAUUAAAAGGACGCUGAAGACUAACACGAAGUUCCUUAGCCCCUAGGGAAAGAGAUCAGCAUCCCAGAAUGAAGGAGGGAAAGAAAUACAUCUCAACAAGAAGCGAAAUAAUCAGAGC